CGCAAGGAUAACCAGUUUCAGGGGAGCCAAACGGCGUCGCGGUAACAGACGCAUGCUUCAGAUGCAGCUUACGCAGCCUCAAGGUGUCAUAACAGUAACAGGUUUGCUUAACAACAGGCCUGCCCUCCCCAGGAUCCACGUGACCGCACAAUGGGCGGGUUCAUGCUCACUCCCACGUCAGUGAACAACCCCACACUCGCCCAUCCAGGACCUCCCCGGCUGAACUGUAACCUGAAAGGGUGACUACUUCUACUUCACCCCACUGAGGCCUAAAGCAGCACCUCUUUCAUGGAUUGAUGAAACAGGAUCUAAAGUGCUGCAAUGGUGGCUGUCUAAAGUGAAUACACUCACUCAUGGCCAUCUUUUAUUUACUCACAUCAUUCAAAGGGGCUACCGACUGACUUUGAGUAGCAAAUUACAAUCGUCUUCCCUUCAUUUAAAAAAAACAAACAUAAAAUUGAAGUUAACCUAAAAGGACGAACACAAAAUGGCAGAAUAAGUAGGGAUCAAAUAUUUGAUCCAUCUGUCCAUUUUCUAUAUCGCAUUAGAGUCACAGGACAUAUUUGAUUUGACAAAAAAUUUUAAUGACCAGAGAAAGGCCAACCGAUAAAGGCUGCGUCUUCUAUCUACUAAUGAGUAUUGAUGCUAGCAGUUGUUAUACUAACAAAUAGCAAGUUAGAAACUUAAGUAUUGUGCUAAAGCAGAUUUAAAGGGUUUUAAACAUUGCAAUUCAGUGUACAGUAUUUAGAUUUGACCUAUACAGUAUUUUCUACACUGUAUUUCUAUUGAGAAUUGCUAACAUGCUAGCCGUUGGAAUCCUAACACCGUGAUUCUCAACUGUCAUUCCGGACCAAAAAAGGCUGGCUUGUGAACAGCUAGGGAAAAAAAAUGACAUGCAUUUUCAUUCAGAUUUUUUCAUAACAAAUGUUCCCACAUAGUGCAUAUAAUAUUUGGUGUAUGUCAAAAAAUGUUAUUCGUAGUCACAAACAAAUGUAGCGUAGCUCAGCCUUAGGGUAGCACACAAUGUAGCUAGCAAUAUGCUUUUGGCUACAUGUCACACUCAUUUGAGUCGUCAUCGCUCACUUCCACAUAAAUGAUGAGAGCGCGCCGCCUACUGGCUGAAAUCUGGGUAUCCACUCACAGGUAUGAGUCAGCGCAAAAACAUGGGUGCGAGAUUUAAACGAAGUUCACUAAGUUUUUAUUGAAACUGUAAAAGAAAAAAAAGUCCCAAUGUUAUGUAAUAACUAGAGAAAUGUUUGUUAUUGGAGUUUUUUGUUUGUUAAGUAUUAUGUUCGUGCUAUUGAACAAAGCACCUUUUGGUACACAGAAAUGGAGGAGUAAAAUAAACACUAAAUUAAUUCAGAUGAAUACGUUAAAAAAUGACUUACUGAAUUCUUGGUGAAAU
This is a long non-coding RNA of Hippocampus comes (tiger tail seahorse), 1405 nucleotides long. RefSeq lists it as uncharacterized. The record is from RefSeq and is a predicted model, not a curated record. Lineage: Eukaryota; Metazoa; Chordata; Actinopteri; Syngnathiformes; Syngnathidae. The transcript has 2 exons.